This 253-nucleotide ribosomal RNA is filed under the name uncultured bacterium. RNAcentral's name for it is "partial 16S ribosomal RNA". It matches the Rfam family "Bacterial small subunit ribosomal RNA", at positions 524 to 776 of the family's 1533-position model. The record is from RNAcentral.
UACGAAGGGGGCUAGCGUUGCUCGGAAUCACUGGGCGUAAAGCGCACGUAGGCGGCUUUUUAAGUCAGGGGUGAAAUCCUGGAGCUCAACUCCAGAACCGCCUUUGAUACUGAGAAGCUUGAGUCCGGGAGAGGUGAGUGGAACUGCGAGUGUAGAGGUGAAAUUCGUAGAUAUUCGCAAGAACACCAGUGGCGAAGGCGGCUCACUGGCCCGGUACUGACGCUGAGGUGCGAAAGCGUGGGGAGCAAACAGG